RNAcentral lists this long non-coding RNA (1292 nucleotides) under Mytilus galloprovincialis (Mediterranean mussel). Lineage: Eukaryota; Metazoa; Mollusca; Bivalvia; Mytilida; Mytilidae. The record is from RNAcentral.
AGGAAAUGUGAGCUUUUGCCAUCACUUGGCGUCCGUCGUCGUCCGUCGUCGUCGUCCGUCCGUCGUCGUCGUCAACUAUUUCAAAGAUCUUCUCCUCUGAAACUACUGAACCAAUUCAAACCAAACUUCAUCUGAUUGAUUCCUAGGGUAUCUAGAAUAAAGUUUGUGUUUUAAUUUCCAUUUCAUCAAAAAACAUGGCCGCCAUGGCUAAAAAUAGAACAUAGGGGUAAAUCGCAGUUUUUGGCUUAUAACUCAAAAACCAAAGCAUUUAGAGCAAAUCUGACAUCGGGUAAAACUGUUUAUCAGGUCAAGAUCUAUCUGCCCUGAAAUUUUCAGAUGAAUCGGACAUUCGGUUGUUGGGUUGCUGCUCCUGAAUUGGUAAUUUUAAGGAAAUUUUUGCUGUUUUUGGUUAUUAUCUUGAAUAUUAUUAUAGAUAGAGAUAAACUGUAAACAGCAAUAAUGUUCAGCAAAGUAAGAUUUACAAAUAAGUCAAAUGACCGAAAUGGUCAGUUGACCCGUUUAGGAGUUAUUGCCCUUUAUAGUCAAUUUUUAACCAUUUUUCGUAAAUCUUAGUUAUCUUUUACAAAUAUCUUCUCCUCUGAAACUACCGGGCCAAAUUAAUAUAAACUUGGCCACAAUCAUCUUUGGGGUAUCUAGUUUGAUAAAUGUGUCCGGUGACCCGGCCAUCAAAUCAAGAUGGCCGUCACGGCUAAAAAUAGAACAUAGGGGUAAAAUGCAGUUUUUGGCUUAUAACUCAAAAACCAAAGCAUUUAGAGCAAAUCUGACGUGGCGUAAAAUUGUUUAUCAGGUCAACAUCUAUCUGCCCUGAAAUUUUCAGAUGAAUCAGACAACCUGUUGUUGGGUUGCUGCCCCGGAAUCGGUAAUUUUAAGGAAAUUUUGCUAAUUUUGGUUAUUAUCUUGAAUAUUUUUAUAGAUAGAGAUAAACUGUAAACAGCAAUAAUGUUCAGCAAAGUAAGAUUUACAAAUAAGUCAAAAUGACCGAAAUGGUCAAUUGACCCCCUAAGGAGUUAUUGUCCUUUAUAGUCAAUUUUUAACAAUUUUCAUAAAAUUUGUAAAUUUUUAUUAACAUUUUCCACUGAAACUACUGGGCCAAGUUCAUUAUAGAUAGAGAUAAUUGUAAGCAGCAAGACUGUUUAGUAAAGUAAGAUGUACAAACACAUCACCAUCACCAAAACACAAUUUUGUCAUGAAUCCAUCUGCUUCCUUUGUUUAAUAUUCACAUAGACCAAGGUGAGCGACACAGGCUCUUUAGAGCCUCUAGUUUUAAUGAU